AAUACAUGCAAGUCGAGCGAACAGACGAGGAGCUUGCUCCUCUGACGUUAGCGGCGGACGGGUGAGUAACACGUGGAUAACCUACCUAUAAGACUGGGAUAACCUCGGGAAACCGGAGCUAAUACCGGAUAAUAUAUUGAACCGCAUGGUUCAAUAGUGAAAGACGGUUUUGCUGUCACUUAUAGAUGGAUCCGCGCCGCAUUAGCUAGUUGGUAAGGUAACGGCUUACCAAGGCAACGAUGCGUAGCCGACCUGAGAGGGUGAUCGGCCACACUGGAACUGAGACACGGUCCAGACUCUUACGGGAGGCAGCAGUAGGGAAUCUUCCGCAAUGGGCGAAAGCCUGACGGAGCAACGCCGCGUGAGUGAUGAAGGUCUUCGGAUCGUAAAACUCUGUUAUUAGGGAAGAACAAAUGUGUAAGUAACUAUGCACGUCUUGACGGUACCUAAUCAGAAAGCCACGGCUAACUACGUGCCAGCAGCCGCGGUAAUACGUAGGUGGCAAGCGUUAUCCGGAAUUAUUGGGCGUAAAGCGCGCGUAGGCGGUUUUUUAAGUCUGAUGUGAAAGCCCACGGCUCAACCGUGGAGGGUCAUUGGAAACUGGAAAACUUGAGUGCAGAAGAGGAAAGUGGAAUUCCAUGUGUAGCGGUGAAAUGCGCAGAGAUAUGGAGGAACACCAGUGGCGAAGGCGACUUUCUGGUCUGUAACUGACGCUGAUGUGCGAAAGCGUGGGGAUCAAACAGGAUU
RNAcentral lists this ribosomal RNA (747 nucleotides) under uncultured Staphylococcus sp. RNAcentral's name for it is "bacterial SSU rRNA". It matches the Rfam family "Bacterial small subunit ribosomal RNA", at positions 50 to 779 of the family's 1533-position model. Lineage: Bacteria; Bacillati; Bacillota; Bacilli; Caryophanales; Staphylococcaceae. The record is from RNAcentral.